AGGUUUGUAUAUGCAUUAAUUUUGGAUGAUUUGAAGUUGGUAUGACUUUGUAAUAGCUUUGCAAAGUCAAGGUUUGUUUCAGAUGACUUGGGUUUUAUGAAAUAAAAUAGGGUUUACGUUUUGGAUGAUUUCAAGAGUUCUGUAAUAGAUCUAUGAGUGAAAUUUUGUGGAUUCAUGGUUAUAGUUGUAUUUAAUAUGUAUUGUGAAUUUGAACU
This 215-nucleotide long non-coding RNA is filed under the name Physcomitrium patens. RNAcentral's name for it is "long non-coding RNA (PPAT_LNC005619)". Lineage: Eukaryota; Viridiplantae; Streptophyta; Bryopsida; Funariales; Funariaceae. The record is from RNAcentral.